GACGUAGGUGGCGAACGUUAUCCGGAAUUAUUGGGCGUAAAGGGUGCGUAGGUGGUCUGAUAAGUUAUCAGUGGCAAAUCGAGGCUCAACCUCGUGGAAACUGAUAAUACUGUUUUGCUUGAGUACAGGAGAGGUUAACGGAACUCCAUGUGGAGCGGUAAAAUGUGUAGAUAUAUGGAAGAACAUCAAUAACGGCGAAGGCAGUUAACUAUUCUGUUACUGACGUUGAGGCACGAAAGCGUGGGGAGCAAAAAGG
This 256-nucleotide ribosomal RNA is filed under the name uncultured bacterium. RNAcentral's name for it is "partial 16S ribosomal RNA". It matches the Rfam family "Bacterial small subunit ribosomal RNA", at positions 524 to 776 of the family's 1533-position model. The record is from RNAcentral.